This is a non-coding RNA of Rattus norvegicus (Norway rat), 77 nucleotides long. NCBI's taxonomy places the organism in Eukaryota, Metazoa, Chordata, Mammalia, Rodentia, Muridae. The record is from Rfam.
GGGGAUUUGGCUCAGUGGUAGAGCGCUUGCCUAGCAAGCGCAAGAGCGCAAGGCCCUGGGUUCGGUCCCCAGCUCCG